This 4535-nucleotide long non-coding RNA is filed under the name Olea europaea subsp. europaea. The record is from RNAcentral. Lineage: Eukaryota; Viridiplantae; Streptophyta; Magnoliopsida; Lamiales; Oleaceae.
UUCAAUAUUUACACAUUACACAUAUGGAGGGACCAUAUGAAGGUAACCUAAAACAAUUUUUUUUAUAUUUCAUUUGUUGUUUUCGCACUUGAUGUCGAUUGUAAAAAGGCAUCUUUUUGUGUUGGAUUCAUGUGAUCGUUCUCUGUUUUCUAAUUAUGGGCUACAAGUAUAAUAAUACUUUUUUUUCUUUUUUGGCCGCAUGGAUUCCUGAUUUUUGAAAUUUAUUUAUAGUUUGUGGCGUAAGUUUUCCAACUCGUUGUCUGACUUAAUAACCUUUUUAACAUAGAUUACAUUGUAGUCCCGAAAUUCAAUGAUUCAGGGAGUAAUGGAAACGCUACAGUUGGGACUGAAAAUUCCUCUAGCGAGGACCUAGACUUCACAAAUUCUAGAAAGAGUUGGACUUCGGAGGGGAUGAUAAUCUGUAUGAAUGCAACAUGACGGAUGGGAUUGAGGUUGGUUCAAACGUGGGUGAAUCGAAUGAUGUGAAUGAGCAUGAUGUUGAAGUUGAUGCUAAGAUUGUUGAUUUGGAGUACUCUUCCUCUGAAGAGCCUAUGUCUAGUUGUCCAUUCGAUGACGAUGUUGGGUAUCAAUUUCCACAAUCCUGGGCGGAGGUUGACAUGAGUAAUCAACAAUUUAUUGUUAAUUAGCUCUUUAUGGAUAUUGUCGAGUUUCGAAAGGCAAUAAGAACUUAUGAAGCUUUGAAUGGGUAUAAUGUCAUAUUUAAGGCUAACAAUGAGAGACGAGUAUAUUGAAGUGCAAACUAUGUUGUAAUUGGAGGAUAUGGGCAUCCAAUGUAGGUCUAACAUAAAGUCUACAAGUUAAGUCAUAUACUUUGAUUCACACAUGCAGUCGAGACCAAUACAACAGACAUUGGAAUUUUGUCUUUCUGACUGACGAUUAUAUUGAGUAGUUUAAGACAGACCCAAAUGGAAGACUAAGAGUAUACUUGCGAUAGUGAAUGAUGAUAUGAAAACUGAUAUUACCCAGAAUUUUGGCAUGGAAAAUGAGAAAAUAUACAAAGAAAUUAUUACAUGAGACAAUUGAUGAGGUGUUUUGUAAGUUGUGGUGUUAUGCUACGGAAGUUUUAAGGAUUAAUACGGGUUUGACCUUUAUCAUUGCCAACCACAAUCAAGUUUUACAAGGCAUCUAUGUUUAUUUUGAAGCAUGCAAGAAAGGUUUUACAAUCAUGUUUUACAAUUGAUGAGUUGUUUUGUAAGUUGUGGUGUUAUGCUACGGAAGUUUUAAGGAUUAUUCCGGGUUUGACCUUUAUCAUUGCCAACCACAAUCAAGUUUUGCAAGGCAUCUAUGUUUAUUUUGAAGCAUGCAAGAAAGGUUUUGUCAAUGGUUGUAGAAAGGUUAUUGGAGUUGAUGGUUGCCAUUUGCAUGGAUGUCUUAGUGGAAUAAUGCUAAAAGUUGUUGGUCAUGAUGCGAAUAAUCCAUAUGAAGAACACAGUUUCAGAUAUUAAAUGUCAUUUUUUAAGGUUUGUAAUAAUUAUUAAUUGUGACUAGGAUUAAUCGGUGAUGUGGCACGCCAUUUGUCGCCAUGCGAGAUUACCAUCAUCUACGCCAAGAAGAAAAUUAACACGUUUUGGGGAGUGGGAGAUGGAGUGCAAACGAGACAAGUUCAGUGAGCAUUUUAUAGUUCAGCCAACAGUCCAUGACCAAUGCAUAAGUUCACUGAUUUUUGAAACAUUUCACUCUUAUUUCUACUUUAAAUUUUAAAUUUUUUUGAUUCAAAUUAAAUGAAGGCUAAAUAUAUUCACGCCACUAUUGAAGACUGCAUUUUUUAAUUGAAUAAAAAAUUCAUAACAUUACAUAUUUUAAAAUUUAUGUCUCAUUUUUUAAUUGCGUUCUUAUUUUUUUACUAACAUAAAUUGUUCGUGAAUAUGGUUUUUCUCCAAAAUAUUUUUUGAGAUAAGGUAAAAAGAUUGUUUUUGACCAUUGUAGUUUUAAAUAAUAAAAAAAAAAUAAUAAUGUAAAAAUGCGAUUAAAUAUUUGAUAAUCAUUUCAAAGCACGUUCACAAUAUUUUUAGACCAAAAUCAUGAUUGAUGACAAAAUUAUAUGAUUAAUGAAAUGUUUAAAAUAAAAAUGUGAAGAAUUAAAAAGUUAAGGAUAUAAGUGUGAUAAUAAAUAAAAGUUAAUGGCCUUUAAUGUAAUUAAAAUGUGGUGUAUUUAUAAAACAAAAUAUGUGGUGUAUUUAUGAAAAGUGUUGUGUGAAUAUAAAAAUUCUUAAGUGAAUGACUAUAAAUUAAUUUCAAUUAAUUCUUAUUCUUAUUAUUAUUAUUAUUAUUAUUAUUAUUAUUAUUAUUAUUAUUAUUAUUAUUAUUAUUGUUAUUAUUAUUAUUAUUAUUAUGCAAUAGUCUUUUUAACUUAAAAAUGUAUUAUCUCACAAGUUUCCCCUUUAAAAAACAUAAUAAAAAAAAUUAAUGGAAACUUAUUGGUCAAACAUGAAUUUUGGCCAAUAAGUUUAUGAUGAAUACGUAUUUAUCAUUUUCAAUGAUGAUUUUUUCAUCUCAAAAAAAGAAAAAAAAAAUGUAAUAAAAUAAAACAACUACUUAUGUGCUAGGUCAAAUUUGCCCCCAUUAAACUAAAUUUAGAUCAUAAUAAGUUAUUGAUGUUUAAUUUAUCUAGUUAUUUUUAAAUAUAUUUUGUACUAUCUCCCAUCCUAUCUGAUAGAAAUGGAUCUCAUGAUCUUAAGCCGAUCUGACCUAAGAUCGUAAGUUCCUAGUUUUCCUAUGAAGAGUGGAUCUAAUUGUAUUAGUGCCUACAAUUAAUUUUUCCUAUGUAAUACUAAUCGAUAAAACCUCAUUGGUAAGUGCUACAUGAUCUCGUGCAAACCCACAAUUAUGGACCUGAAUCAUUAAAUUAUUAGUAAGUUACUAUUACUAUUUUACAUUCAUUAAGCUAUUAUUUGUACUGUAGUCCAAUCCCUAAUUAUGCAUUAUAUUAUUAUUCUAACAACAAUUAGUCUAUGGGUACAGGAAAUACACAUAGAAUUCACACAGAAUUUUGAAUGUGCUGACUAAGCAAAAAAAAAAAAGUUCCAAAAGCAAACUGGUUUGACCCUUAAAAUGAACCCAUCUUCAUUUCCCCAAAUUACAAAGCAAGAGGAAAAUCGUCGCUUUUUCAUUGUCGAACUUGUGGUCCUCCAAAGUCGGCCGACAUCUGGACAACUGAUUGGGGUGCACCAUCUGAUGUAUUGUAAAGAUGGCAGCCCAUCGUAACCCAACAUGGAAAUUGUAUUUGAAGACAGCAGUCGAAUUGUAGAUGCUAGGCAAAGGUAUUUUGUUAUUUACUAUUUUAUACAUUUCAUUAUCAAAUUUAAGGUUAAUUUAUGGUUAAGCUAUCUUACACUUGUUUGCACAAUUUGAAUGUUUUUUCCUCUUUAUUUUGACAUAUAUUUGAAGUAUAUCGGUUAUAGAGCCUGAUUGUUGAUAAAGUUGAAGUCUUUGAUUUCUUGUUCUUCAUAAAUUUGUGAGUUUGUUUAUAAAUUGAUGGUUUUCAGAAAUUUUGUGGGAAAAAGCUUUUUGAUUCCUAAUUAAAUAAUAGCAUAUCUUGCUCUAUUAUUGAUUGUUAUUCAGUUUACUAGGAUGUUAUUGAAAACGGCAUGUUGCUUCUUGCUUCUAAAUAGGGUAGCUCAUAAAUGAAAUUUUGAGAAUUCAGCUUUUUUCUUCAUUUUGUUUUAGCAAUUUAUUGUGGAAAGUUUGAUGAAUUUGAUACUUUAGUUCUUUGUUUAUAUUGUGGAGAGCUUGCUGAAUUUGUGGCAAAUUUCAAAGCUGAAUGAUGGUGGAAGAAAUUAUCCUCGUUUUAUUGAAUUUGUAUUUGUAAGAUGGUAGUAAAAGAAUCUUAGCGAAAUGCAAUUAAGCCAGUGCUUUGUUUGUAAUGUACUGCUAAUAAUAAGUUCCAAUGUGGGAUUUCAUAAUUUAAUUGCAUUCAUGUGGUUUCUUCAACAGUAGUUGACUAGAAUGAGAAGAAGGAAUUUCGGAGUUUGUCACAGCUAUAGAAUUAACACUCACUACUUUGGACAAUGCCAAACAAAACGUGAAUGCCCUUCAUGUAAAUGCGGAUUUUGAAAAUGUUUUGAGGUAAAACGGGAUACUGGAAUCAAAGGGCGCUAGUUCUUCAAGUGUAAUAAUGACUGUGGAUAUUUCGAUUGGGUGAAAAAUGAAGAUUCAAGUGGGGAGUCGAGUAACAUUAACGAAGAGGUGAAUCAUGAGCCCAACGGCAAAUAUGAAGACUUGCCAAGAAUCUUCGACAGCCUAGCUCGAACUUUCGAAAAAUGAGACAUGGACAUAACAUUGCACGUAACAGUUUGCAAAGGAAAAAGGAACUGUAGAAUGUGAUAGGAAAGGGAAAGGACCAAUGUGAACGGGUGAUAUCAAUUUGUAUUUGCUAUAUGCUUUGUUUGUACCGUAAGAACUUCUUGGUCAUAGUAGGCUUCAAUGUUCAAUGCUUAAUUUUGUCAACAUCGUUCGAGCAUUGGACAUAAGUUUAAUAUUUUGCCAAUCAUUGUAAUAAAUUGACGAUUUGGAUA